Non-coding RNA from Maylandia zebra (zebra mbuna), 176 nucleotides. Lineage: Eukaryota; Metazoa; Chordata; Actinopteri; Cichliformes; Cichlidae. The record is from RefSeq and is a predicted model, not a curated record.
UGUGUGUGUGCGCUGCGUGGUGACGUAGGCGCGUGCAUGUGUGCCCCGGUCACAGCUCCUUUCAGCAUGGCCGGAGGAGAGGUGUACUGGCAGUCGCGUGACACACACAGAUCAGACACAUAUUUCUGUGUUGCAGAUGUGCAGUAAAGAGCCAAAGACCCAGUACUGUCUCCUGC